RNAcentral lists this long non-coding RNA (1590 nucleotides) under Pan troglodytes (chimpanzee). RNAcentral describes it as "long non-coding RNA NONPTRT004296". Lineage: Eukaryota; Metazoa; Chordata; Mammalia; Primates; Hominidae. The record is from RNAcentral.
AAAAUCUUACCUUAUGGUCAGACAUUAAAAUUGGAUAAAUUUGUCUAUAAGGUAUUAAGAAUUGGGUUUGACUUCAAUAAUGCACAAGUGCAGUGGCAAGUUUUGCCAUAUUGGCCAGUGUGGUUCCAAGCUCCUGCCUCAAGUGAUCCACCCACCUAGGCCUCCCAAAGUGCUGGGAUUGUAGACGUGAACCACCAUGCCCAGCCACCAUACUGAUGCUCUCUGAUUGAGCUCCUCUUUACCCUGAAUACAACAAGAGACUCCGAUAGUUAGGCAGGCAUAUCAAUGCCCCUGUUCAGCAUGAAUAAGUUACAGCAGAUGAAUCUUCAUUCCUCUGCAACCCUUAGGAUUAAGGGUUCUCUUUUAAAACUGAGGGGUGAAAUGUCAGAUGCAUUUGAAAACUCCAUCUUGAAUAGGGGCUGUGAAAAAUAAGCCUGAGAGCUAGUGGGCUGCAUUCCCAGGAGGUUAAGGCAUUCUUAGUCACAGAAUGAGAGAGGAGGUCAGCACAAGAUACAGGUCAUAAAGACCUUGCUGAUAACACACUCUGUGGUAAAGAAGCCAGCCCAAACCCACCAAAACCAAGAUGGCAACAAGAGUGACCUCUGGUCUUCCUCACUGCUUAUUAUAUGCUAAUUAUAAUGUAUUAUGUGCUAAUUAUAUACAUUAUAUGCUAAUUAUAAUGCAUUAGCAUACUAAGAGAUACUCCCACCAGUGCCAUGACAGUUUACAAAUACCAUGGCAACAUCAGGAAGUUACCCUAUAUGGUCUAAAAAAGGAGAAGCCCCCAGUUCUGGUAACUGCUCCCUUCUUUCCCAGAAAACUCAAGAAUAAUCCACCCCUUAUUUAGCAUAUAAUCAAGAAAUAACCACAAAAAUGGGCAACCAGUGACCCAUGCUGCUGUUCUGCCUAUGGAGUAGCCAUUUUUUUUAUUCCUUUAUUUUCUUUUUUUUUAAAAAAGACUCUAUCCAGUUUGUUCUCUCUCAAUUUUAGAAAAACAUCUUUCACACUUUCCCUCAAAUAUUGAGCCAUAUAAAAUCAUUGUUCAAUUUAACUUUAAAUUGACUUUAACAAUGACAACUUAAGGUACUAUGUUAGAUGCAGUAAACCAAACAGAGUCUUCAAAUCUAAACAUUCUUGACAAUCAAGUAGGAAUGACACACUUUUUUUUCAUUUAACAUUUCAACCUAACCGUGGAGAUGUAGAGGAUUUAUGUCCUUUCCCUUUUGAUUUUGUGUAUGUUCUGCAAUUGCUUUAAUCAUCAGAAAACUAUAGAAGUGACACUGUACCUGUUUCUGUGCCUACGCCUGAUGAAACUGACAGCUUCCGCUACCUGUUUCUUAGAACAAUCGCUCUUGAAAACCAGCCACCAUGGUGUGAGGAAGACCAAGCAAUCCCGUGGAGAAGCCCACAUAGAGGAGAACUGGCGGUCCCAGACUGAAGUCCUUUUGAGUUCCCAGACAACAGUCAGUACAAAUUUGCCUUUUAAGAGAGUGAGCUAUUGUGUAAAUGACUUCUCUGGAUCCAGGAAAGCCUAGUUCUUGACCUACAAAAUCAUGAGCAAAAUAAAAUUCCUCUUUUAAGACAUUAUCU